RNAcentral lists this ribosomal RNA (253 nucleotides) under uncultured bacterium. Its description in RNAcentral is "partial 16S ribosomal RNA". It matches the Rfam family "Bacterial small subunit ribosomal RNA", at positions 524 to 776 of the family's 1533-position model. The record is from RNAcentral.
UACGGAGGGUGCGAGCGUUGUUCGGAAUUACUGGGCGUAAGGCGCGUGUAGGCGGCCUUCUAAGUCUGGUGUGAAAGUCAAGGGCUCAACCCUUGAAUGCCGGUGGAUACUGCAGGACUAGAGUCCGGAAGAGGCGAGUGGAAUUCCCGGUGUAGCGGUGAAAUGCGCAGAUAUCAGGAGGAACACCGAUGGCGAAGGCAGCUCGCUGGGACGGUACUGACGCUGAGACGCGAAAGCGUGGGGAGCAAACAGG